AUGGGUUCAAGUCCUGGAAACAGCCUCUUACAGAAAUGUAGGGAAAGGCUGCGUACUAUAGACCCAAAGUGGUCGGACCCUUCCCUGGACCCUGCGCAAGCGGGAGCUACAUGCACCAGGCAAUGGCGGCAUGGGUGGAAUGAGAGGAAGGAUGGGAAUCAGCUACUUGCAUUCGCACAGAGGAGGCAACGUCGACGCGAUGGUACAGCAGAGGAGGUUGGGCUCGUUGUGGAGCUUCUUGAGGCAGCAGGACGUCGGCGAGAGCAUCGCUGCCGGCAACGGCUCAACCGCUCGAGUGACCUCUUGAGGAUCUUCUCCAUGAGCACCUGGGACGACACCAACUCCAACAUCAUGUUCUCAGCGCCCGGCAGUAAGAAGGCCGAGGUGCUCGGCGACAACGAUGUCGGCAUGGUCACCAGCUUCAGCAACAUCGGCUCCCAGAUUCAGUUAGCCCUCUCGAGCUGUACAUGCCCAGCAUGGACGACUACCUGCAGCUGCAGCAGGACUCCGCCGACUGCCGAGUCCACGCCAAGCGUGGCUGUACCACUGACCCGCAGAGCAUUGCUUGGGAGGGAAACAAGAACAAGGAUCAAUAAGAGGCUAAGGAGGCUGCAAGACCUCAUUCCCUACAUGGACAAGGUCACAAGGUGA
Molecule: ribosomal RNA, 651 nt
Filed under: Triticum aestivum (bread wheat)
Lineage: Eukaryota; Viridiplantae; Streptophyta; Magnoliopsida; Poales; Poaceae
Description: partial small subunit ribosomal RNA
Source: RNAcentral